GACGAACGCUGGCGGCGUGCUUAACACAUGCAAGUCGAACGGAAAGGCCCUGCUUUUGUGGGGUGCUCGAGUGGCAAACGGGUGAGUAACACGUGAGUAACCUGCCCUUGACUUUGGGAUAACUUCAGGAAACUGGGGCUAAUACCGGAUAGGAGCUCCUGCUGCAUGGUGGGGGUUGGAAAGUUUCGGCGGUUGGGGAUGGACUCGCGGCUUAUCAGCUUGUUGGUGGGGUAGUGGCUUACCAAGGCUUUGACGGGUAGCCGGCCUGAGAGGGUGACCGGCCACAUUGGGACUGAGAUACGGCCCAGACUCCUACGGGAGGCAGCAGUGGGGAAUAUUGCACAAUGGGCAGAAGCCUGAUGCAGCAACGCCGCGUGCGGGAUGACGGCCUUCGGGUUGUAAACCGCUUUCGCCUGUGACGAAGCGUGAGUGACGGUAAUGGGUAAAGAAGCACCGGCUAACUACGUG
Molecule: ribosomal RNA, 468 nt
Filed under: uncultured bacterium
Lineage: Bacteria
Description: partial 16S ribosomal RNA
Rfam family: Bacterial small subunit ribosomal RNA
Source: RNAcentral